RNAcentral lists this unclassified non-coding RNA (218 nucleotides) under uncultured fungus. RNAcentral describes it as "sequence contains ITS1, 5.8S rRNA gene". The stretch from base 170 to 218 matches the Rfam family "5.8S ribosomal RNA", at positions 1 to 49 of the family's 154-position model. The record is from RNAcentral. Lineage: Eukaryota; Fungi.
UCUCCGUUGGUGAACCAGCGGAGGGAUCAUUACUGAGUUUACAACUCCCAAACCCUUUGUGAAUUCGACCCAGUUGCCUCGGGGGCGACCCGGCCUUCGGGCGUCGGGGCCCCCGGUGGACCACCCAACCCUGCAUCGUUGCGUCUGAGUCGAAAUAUAAAUCAAUCAAAACUUUCAACAACGGAUCUCUUGGUUCUGGCAUCGAUGAAGAACGCAGC